This 78-nucleotide unclassified non-coding RNA is filed under the name Epilithonimonas pallida. Its description in RNAcentral is "Flavo-1 RNA". Lineage: Bacteria; Pseudomonadati; Bacteroidota; Flavobacteriia; Flavobacteriales; Weeksellaceae. The record is from RNAcentral.
CAGCAGCCCGACCAGAGUGGAGCUCUUUUUCUUUUUUUGCAAAAAAAGAAAAAAGCGGGAACGGAGGGCGGAUUAAGC